UCAAGUAGAUGCUCGGGUAGUUGACUCUGCCGGUUCUGUCUGAGUGGUCCGAGGGAGCACAGGGCUCUGCCCUGUGAUGGACAGUCCCAUUCCAUAAUGCUGGAGAGCAAACCAGACUUUCUGUCUGCAUCUGUUCAUUCUAAACCUCUAGGAGACAAGCCAUACAGGAAACAAUA
Vombatus ursinus (common wombat) is the source of this 176-nucleotide small nucleolar RNA. Its record names the gene SNORA73. It matches the Rfam family "Small nucleolar RNA SNORA73 family". From Rfam's summary of the family: U17 (SNORA73A and SNORA73B) also known as E1 belongs to the H/ACA class of small nucleolar RNAs (snoRNAs). NCBI's taxonomy places the organism in Eukaryota, Metazoa, Chordata, Mammalia, Diprotodontia, Vombatidae. The record is from Ensembl.